GCCUCGAUGGUGAAAUUGGUAGACACUGCAGACUUAAAAUCUGCCGCUUUUAACGAAGCGUGCCGGUUCGAUUCCGGCUCGAGGCACCA
This 89-nucleotide transfer RNA is filed under the name Comamonas testosteroni. RNAcentral describes it as "tRNA-Leu". It matches the Rfam family "tRNA". Rfam says of the family: Transfer RNA (tRNA) molecules are approximately 80 nucleotides in length. Their secondary structure includes four short double-helical elements and three loops (D, anti-codon, and T loops). The record is from RNAcentral. Lineage: Bacteria; Pseudomonadati; Pseudomonadota; Betaproteobacteria; Burkholderiales; Comamonadaceae. RNAcentral also lists the same sequence under 5 other names.